UGUUGCAGUUUAAAAGCUCGUAGUCGAACCUUGGGUCUGGCUGGCCGGUCCGCCUCACCGCGAGUACUGGUCCGGCUGGACCUUUCCUUCUGGGGAACCUCAUGGCCUUCACUGGCUGUGGGGGGAACCAGGACUUUUACUGUGAAAAAAUUAGAGUGUUCAAAGCAGGCCUUUGCUCGAAUACAUUAGCAUGGAAUAAUAGAAUAGGACGUGUGGUUCUAUUUUGUUGGUUUCUAGGACCGCCGUAAUGAUUAAUAGGGAUAGUCGGGGGCGUCAGUAUUCAGCUGUCAGAGGUGAAAUUCUUGGAUUUGCUGAAGACUAACUACUGCGAAAGCAUUCGCCAAGGAUGUUUUCAUUAAUCAGGGAACGAAAGUUAGGGGAUCGAAGACGAUCAGAUACCGUCGUAGUCUUAACCAUAAACUAUGCCGACUAGGGAUCGGACGGGAUUCUAUAAUGACCCGUUCGGCACCUUACGAGAAAUCAAAGUUUUUGGGUUCUGGGGG
RNAcentral lists this ribosomal RNA (503 nucleotides) under Trichocomaceae sp. Its description in RNAcentral is "SSU rRNA". It matches the Rfam family "Eukaryotic small subunit ribosomal RNA", at positions 611 to 1120 of the family's 1831-position model. Lineage: Eukaryota; Fungi; Ascomycota; Eurotiomycetes; Eurotiales; Trichocomaceae. The record is from RNAcentral.